RNAcentral lists this ribosomal RNA (468 nucleotides) under uncultured bacterium. RNAcentral describes it as "partial 16S ribosomal RNA". It matches the Rfam family "Bacterial small subunit ribosomal RNA", at positions 28 to 507 of the family's 1533-position model. The record is from RNAcentral.
GACGAACGCUGGCGGCGUGCUUAACACAUGCAAGUCGAACGGAAAGGCCCUGCUUUUGUGGGGUGCUCGAGUGGCGAACGGGUGAGUAACACGUGAGUAACCUGCCCUUGACUUUGGGAUAACUUCAGGAAACUGGGGCUAAUACCGGAUAGGAUCUCCUGCUGCAUGGUGGGGGUUGGAAAGUUUCGGCGGUUGGGGAUGGACUCGCGGCUUAUCAGCUUGUUGGUGGGGUAGUGGCUUACCAAGGCUUUGACGGGUAGCCGGCCUGAGAGGGUGACCGGCCACAUUGGGACUGAGAUACGGAGCAGACUCCUACGGGAGGCAGCAGUGGGGAAUAUUGCACAGUGGGCGGAAGCCUGAGGCAGCAACGCCGCGUGCGGGAUGACGGCCUUCGGGGUGUAAACCGCCUUCGCCUGUGACGAAGCGUGAGUGACGGUAAUGGGUAAAGAAGCACCGGCUAACUACGUG